CUCUCUCUCUCUCUCUCUCUCUCUCUCUCUCUCGUUUUCCAAUCUCCGCUGAGCUGAUCUGUGCAUCUGACGUGUUACGAUUCAUGGUUAGCCGGAAAUGCCCCCGGCCGACGUGGGAGACCACGGCUUUGCCACAGUGGCGAAGUUGAUGACGAGUGGCUCUGUCCUUUUCAUUCAUUUUUUCUUAUUUUUUUGUCUCCAUGGAUGAAAACCUUCGCGUCGCCGUGAAUCCUGUCUCCUUUCUGUUUCUCUAAGACCCUCGGAGAGGCUGAACCCGUAAAUUUCACGAGACUUUCAUCGGUGUUUGCGACGAGUGAUUUUGCAUCGAUCUCUUCGAUCAGCUAUAACGUUUGAAUUGGAUUCGAAUAAAUAAUCUCUGAUUUUUCUUUUGGACGCGAAAUUUAGGAGAGAUUUUCGCGAUUUCACGAUACACAGCUUCCUUGUUUUUUUUCUUCAUUCGUUCAGGGUUGUUUCCCUCGAGGUUCCAUCGAGUCUCCUUCCCCAACACAUUCUGCAUUAGAUUCCAAAGGACAUUUUCGCAGAGGGCAAAGAAUAAAAAUAUUGACCAAAAAACCCCUCGACAGAGUUUUCGUGUCUCGCAUCGCGAGGGUAUUCCUGUCAUUAUGCGAUGUAUGGGUUUUGUCUCCCCGGAGAGGGAAGAUGGAUGGGGGGGGAAUGGAAAGGGUGCGAACGUCGCCGUUUUCUGUUUUUUUGUUAGGUAUGAUUUGAUUUGUCAUUCAGGAGCAAUGCUCUGGUGCCAUGCUCUACACUGAUCCUCCGAAUAAACAAAUUCAAUACUGAUUUGUUGACAAUGAAAAUAUCCUGAUUUGUCGUCUCAUAAAAUGUGAAGUAUUGAUUGAUUUCAUUCUAGACUGAUGUGAAGAAUAAACGCAGGAUGCUAUGGUUUUGCAUAAUUAACUGAGGAAAACUUUUGGACAAAAUGUUUAAAAAAAUGGGGAAGGAUUUCUUUGCACUAUUUUGUGAUAAAUAAUGAAAAUAAACACUGAUCUGGUUAACCCACAUUAUGUGAUGGGCCUAUGUCUUUGUUUUGGUAAUGGGUCGUAUCUCUUGUUUCUUCAAUACAGGCCCCAAAUUUUUAUCAAUAUUUUUUUUAAUCCAUAAAUUGCGUUCCCAUUUGAUUCUAUAGUGUUAAAAUUCUUUUUUUUUUCUUUGUUUGGUUCUGAAAACACAAAUUGCUUGCCUUUUUUGGGGGGGUUGGAUUGGAUGGUCUUGCACAUGCAAUGCAAUUCCCCAUUGAAUUUUAUAUUUUUGUGGGGUUAAAGUCAGAGUUGUGUACUGGGAAACGUGCCAGUAGCCAUUUGCCAUGUCAGGCAGGUCGCGUGAGGACAAUCACGUGAAUUGUGUUCUGUGAUGUUUUACUGAGUCGCUGUCAAGGAAAUGUGAAUAAUAGUUGCAUACAGUGGGAGGUUUUACUGUUUUGCAAGAUAUUCAACCAUCAAGAAAUGGGCUUUUUUCUUCCAUCUAUAAAUUAUGCUACUAAAUUAGAUUUGUUAGUUUUAAGAAAUUAAUAAUUUUCCCUUUUUGUUUGUUUGUUACGUGGAGUGUGUUUUGUAGUGGUUUAGUUCCGGUGGUUUUUGGACUGUUUUGCGUUAUUAAUUGCGUGCAUUGUGGUUUUCAGAGGUUAGGUUAUCCACCACACAUUGUCUUCCAUUUGGUUCAAGACUUUGUUGUGUCGACAUUGUAUUUUUUUUGUUGGGUUUCGUUCUUUGCUCAAUGUUUGACUAUUCUCUCUAAUCCCUCAAUUUAUUAAUGGGUCUUGUUCCUAAUCCCAGACUAUAAUCACCCGAGACUCAAACGGAUCUAGCUCCAAUAGAGGAAGGAAGAAGAAGACGUUUGCUGAACUUGAGGAGGAAGAAGACAACCUGUUGAAGGAGAGAAUCUGCUUGAAGAGGGAAAUUGCGUUGUUCUGUGCCACGUUCGACGAGCAUGACACUGAGAUCGAGAGCUUGAAGAAGAUGAAGUUGGAUCCGAAGCACAUGCAUCGUAACAAGGGGGAGGUGGAAAAGUCGAUGUCCGAGAGGAGCUUCUUGCUUCCGGAUCUGAAUAUGACGCCUUCGUCUGACGACAGCUGACUUUUCUUUGGCUGUGGCGACUCUGUAUGGGACAAGGAUAGGCUCUGAAUGAAUAUGGAAAACAACUGGUCUCCGAUCUAUAUAGAUCAGCUAGUAAACCCCGGCCAUCUCUCCCAGAUUUCGGCAAAGCAGCGACACCAAGCUCUUGCUGUGUGAGGGUUUUCGACCGGGUGAAGAGGAUCACGUUUAAGAUAAGAGAUCUCUGGUGUAGAGGAUUAUGUAAGUUUUGCAGAUUCAGAGAGAGCGAGAGAGGAUACAGAGUUAUUGAUUCUUUGUAGAGGGAACAAGAGAUUCGAAUAUAUGAGAUCAGAAGCUGUUGUGUACUGUA
Tarenaya hassleriana is the source of this 2421-nucleotide long non-coding RNA. RefSeq lists it as uncharacterized. The record is from RefSeq and is a predicted model, not a curated record. The transcript has 4 exons. NCBI's taxonomy places the organism in Eukaryota, Viridiplantae, Streptophyta, Magnoliopsida, Brassicales, Cleomaceae.